This is a long non-coding RNA of Apis mellifera (honey bee), 1767 nucleotides long. RefSeq lists it as uncharacterized. The record is from RefSeq and is a predicted model, not a curated record. NCBI's taxonomy places the organism in Eukaryota, Metazoa, Arthropoda, Insecta, Hymenoptera, Apidae. The transcript is spliced from 4 exons.
UACGGUCGCACGAAUCAGUCGCCAUUGUGCACGGAUAUUUGUUGGUAGUGUUCAGUUUUUUAUUUUUUAUUGUGUUUUAAUAAAUUGUGAUUAAUAAAUGAUAGUUAAUUAAAAAAGAAUCGCUUAUUAACUGCUUUUUCAUGUAACUUUCAUGGAAAAUUCUCAAUAAAGAAAGUACUAUCAAAAGGAAGAGAUUCAUACGUAAAUUGUUUGUUGUCUACACAAUGGAUCUGACUUUUCAACCUUGAUAUCCUAUCUUCGGUACAGGACAGCAUUGUAUACACCAGCGUUGCACAGCGUGGUGAGUUCGUUCAAAAUCCAGUGGAUGCAAACAACACGUGUAAACCUCUGCAUCGAAUUAGCGAGAGAAAUAUGGUUCUAAUGCGAAUUAUUCCACGAUGCUCAUGGAAGAAAGAGGCCUCGUGGCGCUACCGAUGGAAACGGACGAAAACAUAGCACGUAAGGAGAGACAGAGAGAGAAAGAGAGAGUGAGGGGGAGGGGAAAGAGCGUUGCUCAAACAUCCGAGUGUUUAUCACGUCGAGUGAAUGAUUACAACGAUGGGUUCCAGGGUUUUUAGAUCGGACGAUGGUUUCUUUUUCUUGGAGGAAGAUGGAACGAUUGGAGGAUUUGUUGGUAAUGGUUAGGUAACAGGAGGGUAAUGGAUUAAUUUUAUAUCGUUUUCUAAAAAAUUCUUUUUGUUUUUUUUUUUUAUUACGCAAGUUUAUUUUUAUAAGUCAAAAUAAUCUUUAUAUAUAUUUUUUUUAAUGUAAUAAAUUUAAAAUUCUUUUUUUUUUUAUAUUCGAAACAAAAUAUUUUAAGUCUACGUUCUACGACGAUGUUCAAAAUUAUCAUUCGUUAAAAAGAAUUCGUAAUUUACCUUAUCUGUAUUUAUUAUUUCUCUUAUAUUCCAUGUAAUUCAACGGAUAACACGUUGUGUCAUUUUUUUUUUUUUAAAGCGUGUCGACGUCUUUUUUAUUUUUUCUUUCGAAACGUAGAUUUCACUUUAUAAACGCGUUUAAUCGAUUCGUCGCGUGAUUCUGCACGCCAGAUAAAAGUGCUGACCGCAUAACGGGUUCUGGAACGUCUUCGUUCGUCGAGCCGUGUAGUCACCUAUAUAACCGCAAUGUAGUUCAUCGGUGAUCUAAAACCCGAUGUGGAUUAAAUUAAACACGGAAUUGGAAUUAACAAUUCAAAUCAACAGAUGCAUGCUCGAAUCGGUAAUCGUGGAUAGAAUAGAGAAUUCGAAAAUCCAUUUCUUUCGAUCCAUAAUUUGUCGGGCCAACGGGAUCGGAUGGAAAGAUAAGAUCGUAUUAUUCAUUCGGGACUCGAAUCGAAAAUCGAUUCUUGGUGAAAAGUUGAUUAGUCAUCGCGAUGAUCUAUUUCAGACGUUCGUAUCGUGUCUUCGAGAUUUCGUUGAGUUCUAUAUAUCUUAACAACAGUGAAAAAUAAAUCACACUCCGCAAAUAAAACGAACGAAAUUUUGGAAAAACGGCUUAACAUUAUUUUAUUCGCGUGCCAGAAUAAUGUAAUACAAGAUAUUCAUAUAAUAAUACACGGUGAUGAAAACAUUAUUCAUCGUUACAAUGCAACAUCGUGAUAUAUAACGAUAAUAUAUAAAAAUUCGUGAAACGUUACCUUUUUCGAAUAAAUUUUUUUUUUUUAGAAAUUCUUUGUAUUUUCAUCUGAGAUAACAAUUUAAUAAUAAUAAAAAAAUGAUCGCAUCUCGAGAGAAAAUUCUCGCCAGAUGGUCGAUCCAAGAAACGAUA